GCACGUCAGUGUGUUUUACCUCACUUUUGAUAUCGAGUUCCAGGCUCGGCAGACCACGGCCAGACAACAGGGAAGGCAACGAGGACUGUCUAAGAGGUAUUGAAGAACAUCUUUAACGACGGCAUGAAGUAGCACGACAUUGCCUGUCAUCUGUGAGGCCAGCCUGUAAUAUUUUUUGCCAGCAAAUGGCCUGAUUUCCUGAAUGGUGAAGUUGUAAAAUAUUAAAAUUUCUAAACUAG
Procambarus clarkii (red swamp crayfish) is the source of this 239-nucleotide non-coding RNA. The record is from RefSeq and is a predicted model, not a curated record. Lineage: Eukaryota; Metazoa; Arthropoda; Malacostraca; Decapoda; Cambaridae.